RNAcentral lists this transfer RNA (73 nucleotides) under Chlorokybus atmophyticus. RNAcentral describes it as "tRNA-Met". It matches the Rfam family "tRNA". Rfam says of the family: Transfer RNA (tRNA) molecules are approximately 80 nucleotides in length. The record is from RNAcentral. Lineage: Eukaryota; Viridiplantae; Streptophyta; Chlorokybophyceae; Chlorokybales; Chlorokybaceae.
CGCGGAGUUGAGUAAUUGGCCACUCGUUAGGCUCAUAACCUGAAGUAUGUAGGUUCAAAUCCUACCUCCGCUC